CCUACGGGUGGCAGCAGUGGGGGAUAUUGGACAAUGGGGGGAACCCUGAUCCAGCGACGCCGCGUGAGUGAAGAAGUAUUUCGGUAUGUAAAGCUCUGUCAGCAGGGAAGAAAGCAAUGACGGUACCUGACCAAGAAGCCCCGGCUAACUACGUGCCAGCAGCCGCGGUAAUACGGAGGGGGCAAGCGUUAUCCGGAAUUACUGGGUGUAAAGGGAGAGUAGACGGCUGUGCAAGUCUGGAGUGAAAGGCUGGGUCCCAAACCCCGGACUGCGCUGGAAACUGUAUGGCUGGAGUGCAGAAGAGGAGAGCGGAAUUCCUAGUGUAGCGGUGAAAUGCGUAGAUAUUAGGAGGAACACCAGUGGCGAAGGCGGCUUACUGGACUGUAACUGACGUUGAGGCUCGAAAGCGUGGGGAGCAAACAGGAUUAGAUACCCCAGUAGUC
Molecule: ribosomal RNA, 443 nt
Filed under: uncultured bacterium
Lineage: Bacteria
Description: partial 16S ribosomal RNA
Rfam family: Bacterial small subunit ribosomal RNA
Source: RNAcentral